This 914-nucleotide long non-coding RNA is filed under the name Astyanax mexicanus (Mexican tetra). RNAcentral describes it as "lncRNA (ENSAMXG00005003463.1)". The stretch from base 555 to 641 matches the Rfam family "mir-22 microRNA precursor family". Lineage: Eukaryota; Metazoa; Chordata; Actinopteri; Characiformes; Acestrorhamphidae. The record is from RNAcentral.
UGGUCCAAGUCCAAACUAUAUAACUCAAGCCCAUAUAUUGUAGCCUGGGCAACUUCUGAAACUUAAGCUUAAACCUAAUCAGGAUCUCUUUUUUUUUUUGUUUUGUUUGCCUAAUUGCGCUUCUUUCUUUUGGCCUUCAUCUGUGGAGAAAAAUUGCAGAAAAUUCCUGAAGACCACGCCCUGCUGCUACAUGUAGGGCUAGCAAGUUCCACUGGGAGAUGCAGCUGUAUCAACCUCUGUAGCUAACAACCACCGUACUCAGUAGGCCAACAAUCCUUAAAGUGGAACCACAUGUACGAGCAGCAUAAGUGACCGCUAGAAAAAAGUUAGUUAGCUCUGCAGGAGCCUUCAGAUGGUCUACAAUUUUGGUUUUGCUCUAUCCCACCAUGUUGCAAGCUCAUUCAGAUGUUUCAGGGUACCAGCUUUGCUUGUCCUUUCUCCCUCCUGCUUUGCACCAGUCCUGUGACACCAGCCAUGUCCACCAGACUGAGCAGCCAGGUGUGCAGACUGCGGAGCUGGUGGAUGACAAAGCAUGAAGUUUGUCUAUAAAUGGUGGCUAACCUACAGCAGUUCUUCUCUGGCAAACUUUAUGUUCCUGUCCACAUGCUAAAGCUGCCAGCUGAAGAACUGUUGUGGUCAGCUAUGUCCUGCAACCCCCUUUAGAAAAUGAAGUAAUGAAGCAUCUUGAAGCAUUUACCACCCAAAGCAAAACCAGUGUGUUUGUGAGAACUUUUGUAAAUGCAAAGUAUAAAGCAAUAUUAAAGACAAAUAUGCAGCAUUACACACUGUAUGUAUUCAUUUGAAGAGAUCAAGUUGAUGCACCAACAUUUUAGUUUUAGUAGAAAUAUCUGUUGGAAGUGUUGGUCUGUUUUUAGCCAAAUAAAACCAAGCACCUCAAAUAAAGCCUGAUUUAU